GGAUGAGAUUACAGUUUUUAGUUUUAAGAUUUUGAACAACUCUGCUGUGAAUGAAGAAUGAUACCUGAGAAAGGUAGUUUGACUUUUAUCACCCUAGUUUAUUAUUUUUAUUGUGUUCAUACAUGAAGUAAGAGUACAUCAUGAAAGGAAACAUUUGUUGUGAGCACUUAGUAAACCAAAUCUAUGAUCGAUGAAGUUUUCUUGCGCAUCAAUUAGGUGUCGAGGAUUAUUAUCUUUCAUAAACCUUGAGCAUUUGCAUCACUUCAUACACCCCUAAUGUAUAUUUUAAUCACAUAAAUAAGCAAAUACAGAUUUACUUCAUUGUUAAGGCAAUAUAAUUUCUGACCUUCCUCUGUGCGGUAUUGUGUGUGCAAAUAAAUUUAAAAAGUAAUAAUAUGAAGAAUUUUUAUUUUACUACUUAAGCUUUGACUUUUGACUGAUCACUUUCUGUACAUAAGAUGAGAUAAGAAGAACUUUAUUUAUCCCUGAGGGGGGAUUCGGCAUUAGAAAAAGCAGGAGACAUGACUAACACCACAUAUCAAUCUUUUCUUGGUAUGUGGCAGGCAGACAAACCUAUGACUAAGGAGAUGACACAGAUCUCAAUGAUCAAGACUCAAUUUAAUGUGCAUUGCAAUCCAUAUUAGCGCGACUCCAUUACACAGGAGUUCAGCAAGUAAGCGAUGCACACUGUUUGACUCAUGCUGACUCACUGAAACAGACAUUUCCAUUUCCUAAGAACAUAAUUACACAAAUCAUAAGACUGAUAUUUGAACACCUUCCCUCUCCUGUUGUUUUCCGAAUGGAGCUCUAUGUGUCACCAGUAGUGCGGUACUACUUAUUAAUAAGCAUUGUUGUGUCCUCCCUGCCGCUCUUGCCAGUCUCCACGAAGAUUGCUGGGGCUCAGUCGGGAGUGUGAUUGAGUUUGAUGAGAGUGAUGGAUUGCUGCUGCUCUGAUUGCCUUGACACCUCUAGUCAGGCUGUGAUUGUAUUUUUAGAGAAGUGAAAAAUAAUGUCUUUAUGUCAUGUCUGUUUCACUUUGUAUCAACUUCAUGUAACUGAGGAUAACAUUUUGGAAUAGCUUUCUUAGACUAACACACAGUAGAUACUGUAGGGUUUGUAUGUUACAAUAAGACUCAGUAAACAUGUACAUCAUUUUUAUGCCAUGUUAAAGUAAACCAUGUUUAUCUAAAAGUAAUAAUUGCAAUUACCAUUAUUGUAUAUCUUGUGAUUUUGAUACUAGUAAAAGUGAAGAACUCACCUCGGUAGCUUCCCUGAGUUUUUGGGUUACUGCCUUGAAUCGUCAGUUUAACCUCAGAAAGCAACUUUGGCCUUGUUCAGACUGCAAGCUUCCAGCGAGUCCAAAUAGAUUUCUGAGCGAAUCGAGGUUAUAACAAGAUGAAAUGUAAGUUUGCUCAUUUUGCUCCAGGAAGAUUUGAUGAUAGCUUGAACUAUGGGUCCAUUUCGAUACUGCCAUAACCCACAGCUUUGAGAAACUGAUUCGAUUUGCCUGCAGUCUGAACAAAACUCCAGUGUACGUGAAUCAGCAAGACUUGUUUUGCAUUGUACAUUGUUGGUUAAAAAAAACCUGUGAGAAAAAUACUUGUUUUUCAUUUUUUUCUUCUAAAUAAACUUAGUUCUACACA
RNAcentral lists this long non-coding RNA (1643 nucleotides) under Xyrichtys novacula (pearly razorfish). Lineage: Eukaryota; Metazoa; Chordata; Actinopteri; Labriformes; Labridae. The record is from RNAcentral.